RNAcentral lists this ribosomal RNA (486 nucleotides) under uncultured bacterium. RNAcentral's name for it is "partial 16S ribosomal RNA". It matches the Rfam family "Bacterial small subunit ribosomal RNA", at positions 30 to 507 of the family's 1533-position model. The record is from RNAcentral.
AUUGAACGCUGGCGGCAUGCCUUACACAUGCAAGUCGAACGGCAGCACGGGUGCUUGCACCUGGUGGCGAGUGGCGAACGGGUGAGUAAUACAUCGGAACAUGUCCUGUAGUGGGGGAUAGCCCGGCGAAAGCCGGAUUAAUACCGCAUACGAUCUACGGAUGAAAGCGGGGGACCUUCGGGCCUCGCGCUAUAGGGUUGGCCGGUGGCUGAUUAGCUAGUUGGUGGGGUAAAGGCCUACCAAGGCGACGAUCAGUAGCUGGUCUGAGAGGACGACCAGCCACACUGGAACUGAGACACGGCCCAGACUCCUACGGGAGGCAGCAGUGGGGAAUUUUGGGCAAUGGGCGAAAGCCUGAUCCAGCAAUGCCGCGUGUGUGAAGAAGGCCUUCGGGUUGUAAAGCACUUUUGUCCGGAAAGAAAUCCUUGGCCCUAAUACGGGCGGGGGAUGACGGUACCGGAAGAAUAAGCACCGGCUAACUACGUG